ACGGAAGGCAGCAGUGGGGAAUAUUGCACAAUGGGGGAAACCCUGAUGCAGCAACGCCACGUGUGGGAAGAAGCAUUUCGGUGUGUAAACCACUGUCGUGAAGGAAUAAGGCUUAUUUUCGGAUAAGUUGAAUGUACUUUGAAAGGAAGCACCGGCAAACUUCGUGCCAGCAGCCGCGGUAAUACGAGGGGUGCAAGCGUUGUUCGGAAUCACUGGGCGUAAAGGGAGCGCAGGCGGAGAUGCAAGCAGUCUGUACAAUACCGGGGCCCAACCCCGGACCUGCAGACUGGACUGUUUCUCUUGGAUAGCUCAGGGGCUGGCGGAAUUCCUGGUGUAGCGGUGGAAUGCGUGGAGAUCAGGAAGAACACCGAUGGCGAAGGCAGCUUGCUGGGGACUUAUCGACGCUCAUGCUCGAAAGUGCGGGUAGCAAACAGGAUUAGAUACCCUGGUA
This 451-nucleotide ribosomal RNA is filed under the name uncultured Fibrobacter sp. RNAcentral's name for it is "partial 16S ribosomal RNA". It matches the Rfam family "Bacterial small subunit ribosomal RNA", at positions 341 to 792 of the family's 1533-position model. The record is from RNAcentral. Lineage: Bacteria; Pseudomonadati; Fibrobacterota; Fibrobacteria; Fibrobacterales; Fibrobacteraceae.